CCUACGGGAGGCUGCAGUGGGGAAUUAUUCACAAUGGGCGCAAGCCUGAUGGUGCGACGCCGCGUGGGGGAGGAAGGUCUUCGGAUUGUAAACCCCUGUCAUUAAGGAGCAAAAACUGGGUUCAUAGCCCAGCUUGAGUUAACUUAAAGAGGAAGUAGUGGCAAACUCUGUGCCAGCAGCCGCGGUAAUACAGAGACUACGAGCGUUACUCGGAUUCACUGGGCGUAAAGGGUGCGUAGGCGGGUGUGUGUGUUAAAUGUGAAAUCCUGGGGCUCAACCCCAGAACUGCAUUUAAAACUACACAUCUAGAGUUUUAGAGAGGUAAGCGGAAUUCUUAGUGGAGCAGUGAAAUGCAUAGAUAUUAAGAGGAACACCAAUUGCGAAGGCAGCUUACUGGAUAAAAACUGACGCUGAGGCACGAAAGCGUGGGGAGCAAACGGGAUUAGAUACCCCGGUAGUC
Molecule: ribosomal RNA, 460 nt
Filed under: uncultured Verrucomicrobiota bacterium
Lineage: Bacteria; Pseudomonadati; Verrucomicrobiota
Description: bacterial SSU rRNA
Rfam family: Bacterial small subunit ribosomal RNA
Source: RNAcentral